Molecule: ribosomal RNA, 251 nt
Filed under: uncultured prokaryote
Description: partial 16S rRNA
Rfam family: Bacterial small subunit ribosomal RNA
Source: RNAcentral
ACAGAGGGGGCAAGCGUUAUUCGGAAUUAUUGGGCGUAAAGGGCGCGUAGGCGGUGAUUUAAGUGAGAUGUGCAAUCCCCGGGCUUAACCUGGGAACUGCAUCUCAGAUUGGGUCGCUUGAGUGCUGGAGAGGGUGGUGGAAUUCCACGUGUUGCGGUGGAUUGUGUAGAGAUGUGGAGGAACUAUAGUGGUGACGUCAGCAUCCUGGACGGUAACUGAAGCUGAGGCGGGAAAGUGUGUGGAGAAAACAG